Cajanus cajan (pigeon pea) is the source of this 623-nucleotide non-coding RNA. The record is from RefSeq and is a predicted model, not a curated record. NCBI's taxonomy places the organism in Eukaryota, Viridiplantae, Streptophyta, Magnoliopsida, Fabales, Fabaceae.
AGAGCUAGAAGUUCUUUUGUUAAAACAGAGUUGGACCAUUAUUUAGAGGAGGAUGUUUUACCAAGAACUGCUGAUUUUGAUAUUUUGAUGUGGUGGAAGUUGAAUGGUAUCAAGUAUCCAACACUCCAAGCAAUUGCAAGGGACAUUCUAGCUAUUCCUAUAUCUAUAGUAGCUUCAGAAUAAGCAUUUAGCACUAGUGGUCAAAUUUUAAGUCCUCAUCGUAGUCGACUUCAUUGGAGCACUUUGGAGGCCUUAAUGUGUACUAGAAGUUGGUUAUGGAUAGUUGAAACUUCUGGUUAUGAGAAUUCUAAAGUAAUCCAUGAAUUUCCUAUUUUACUUGAUGAAAAAGGAUCGGAUGAUGAAGAUGAAAUGAUGGAGGAUAGUGACAUUACUUUCCAUUUGGAAGAUGAUCAAUAAAUGAAAGAUGUAUGAUGGAAUGAUGAAUUGGAAUUGCUGCUACUUUUUAUUUGUAUUUAAUAAGUUUAAAUAUUGUAUUUUUUCUAGUUGCCUUGGUCUUUUUUUUUUAAUGAAAAAAUGGUAUUUUGUAAUUUUGUUAGAUUGAGACAACUUUAUGAUAUUACUACAAACUUUGUUGAAUUGAAAAAUAUUAUAUUUCAUUAUAA